UGCGUAGGCGGAAAAUUAAGUCAGUGAUGAAAUCCUGCAGCUUAACUGUAGAACUGUUAUUGAUACUGGUUUUCUUGAAUAUAGUUGAGGUAGGCGGAAUGUGUAAUGUAGCGGUGAAAUGCUUAGAUAUUACACAGAACACCGAUUGCGAAGGCAGCUUACUAAGCUAACAUUGACGCUGAGGCACGAAAGCGUGGGGAGCGAACAGGAUUAGAUACCCUGGUAGUCC
This 229-nucleotide ribosomal RNA is filed under the name uncultured bacterium. RNAcentral describes it as "partial 16S ribosomal RNA". It matches the Rfam family "Bacterial small subunit ribosomal RNA", at positions 568 to 796 of the family's 1533-position model. The record is from RNAcentral.